CCUGGCUCAGGAUGAACGCUAGCUACAGGCUUAACACAUGCAAGUCGAGGGGCAGCAUGGUCUUAGCUUGCUAAGGCCGAUGGCGACCGGCGCACGGGUGAGUAACACGUAUCCAACCUGCCGUCUACUCUUGGACAGCCUUCUGAAAGGAAGAUUAAUACAAGAUGGCAUCAUGAGUCCGCAUGUUCACAUGAUUAAAGGUAUUCCGGUAGACGAUGGGGAUGCGUUCCAUUAGAUAGUAGGCGGGGUAACGGCCCACCUAGUCUUCGAUGGAUAGGGGUUCUGAGAGGAAGGUCCCCCACAUUGGAACUGAGACACGGUCCAAACUCCUACGGGAGGCAGCAGUGAGGAAUAUUGGUCAAUGGGCGAGAGCCUGAACCAGCCAAGUAGCGUGAAGGAUGACUGCCCUAUGGGUUGUAAACUUCUUUUAUAAAGGAAUAAAGUCGGGUAUGGAUACCCGUUUGCAUGUACUUUAUGAAUAAGGAUCGGCUAACUCCGUGCCAGCAGCCGCGGUAAUACGGAGGAUCCGAGCGUUAUCCGGAUUUAUUGGGUUUAAAGGGAGCGUAGAUGGAUGUUUAAGUCAGUUGUGAAAGUUUGCGGCUCAACCGUAAAAUUGCAGUUGAUACUGGAUAUCUUGAGUGCAGUUGAGGCAGGCGGAAUUCGUGGUGUAGCGGUGAAAUGCUUAGAUAUCACGAAGAACUCCGAUUGCGAAGGCAGCCUGCUAAGCUGCAACUGACAUUGAGGCUCGAAAGUGUGGGUAUCAAACAGGAUUAGAUACCCUGGUAGUCCACACGGUAAACGAUGAAUACUCGCUGUUUGCGAUAUACUGCAAGCGGCCAAGCGAAAGCGUUAAGUAUUCCACCUGGGGAGUACGCCGGCAACGGUGAAACUCAAAGGAAUUGACGGGGGCCCGCACAAGCGGAGGAACAUGUGGUUUAAUUCGAUGAUACGCGAGGAACCUUACCGGGGCUUAAAUUGCAGAUGAAUUACGGUGAAAGCCGUAAGCCGCAAGGCAUCUGUGAAGGUGCUGCAUGGUUGUCGUCAGCUCGUGCCGUGAGGUGUCGGCUUAAGUGCCAUAACGAGCGCAACCCUUGUUGUCAGUUACUAACAGGUUCCGCUGAGGACUCUGACAAGACUGCCAUCGUAAGAUGUGAGGAAGGUGGGGAUGACGUCAAAUCAGCACGGCCCUUACGUCCGGGGCUACACACGUGUUACAAUGGGGGGUACAGAGGGCCGCUACCACGCGAGUGGAUGCCAAUCCCCAAAACCUCUCUCAGUUCGGACUGGAGUCUGCAACCCGACUCCACGAAGCUGGAUUCGCUAGUAAUCGCGCAUCAGCCACGGCGCGGUGAAUACGUUCCCGGGCCUUGUACACACCGCC
This 1381-nucleotide ribosomal RNA is filed under the name uncultured bacterium. RNAcentral describes it as "bacterial SSU rRNA". It matches the Rfam family "Bacterial small subunit ribosomal RNA", at positions 18 to 1394 of the family's 1533-position model. The record is from RNAcentral.